Molecule: ribosomal RNA, 303 nt
Filed under: Triticum aestivum (bread wheat)
Lineage: Eukaryota; Viridiplantae; Streptophyta; Magnoliopsida; Poales; Poaceae
Description: partial small subunit ribosomal RNA
Source: RNAcentral
AUGUGAUUUUUCCAAGCUUUCUAUGACCAUUGCAGUGGUCUGAGCGGCAUCAACACUGCCAAUAUUGUGCUGCUUCCAAAGAAAGAGAACCCAACAGAUAUCCGGGAUUUCAGGCCCAUUGCUUUGGUCCAUAGUAUACCCAAGCUUACAACGAAGGUUUUAGCAGUCCGGCUUCAACGUAUCAUCCCAAGCCUCAUACACCCCUUAGAAUCUGGUUUUCUGCCUGGAAGAUGCAUAGCUGAAAAUUUCGCUUUGGCAGCAGAACUGGUUCAGCAGGCAAAAAAGAGAAAAAGCCAAUGUUAG